GAUGAACGCUGGCGGUAUGCCUAACACAUGCAAGUCGAACGGAGUUCUUCGGAACUUAGUGGCGGACGGGUGAGUAACACGUGAGAACCUACCUUCAGAAUGGGGACAACAGUUGGAAACGACUGCUAAUACCCAAUGUGCCGAAAGGGGAAAGAUUUAUCGUCUGAAGAUGGGCUCGCGUCUGAUUAGCUAGACGGGGGGGUAAGAGCCUACCAUGGCAACGAUCAGUAGCUGGUCUGAGAGGAUGAGCAGCCACACUGGGACUGAGACACGGCCCAGACUCCUACGGGAGGCAGCAGGGGGGAAUUUUCCGCAAUGGGCGAAAGCCUGACGGAGCAAUACCGCGUGAGGGAGGAAGGUCCUUGGAUUGUAAACCUCUUUUAUCAGGGAAGAAGUUCUGACGGUACCUGAUGAAUAAGCAUCGGCUAACUCCGUGCCAGCAGCCGCGGUAAUACGGAGGAUGCAAGCGUUAUCCGGAAUUAUUGGGCGUAAAGCGUCCGUAGGUGGUUAUGCAAGUCUGCCGUUAAAGAAUGGAGCUUAACUCCAUAGGAGCGGUGGAAACUGCAAGACUACAGUACAGUAUGGGUAGCAGGAAUUCCCAGUGUAGCGGUGAAAUGCGUACAUAUUGGGAAGAACAUCGGUGGCGAAAGCGUGCUACUGGGCUGAAACUGACACUGAGGGACGAAAGCUAGGGUAGCGAAAGGGAUUACAUACCCCUGUAGUCCUAGCCGUAAACGAUGGAUACU
RNAcentral lists this ribosomal RNA (746 nucleotides) under uncultured cyanobacterium. RNAcentral's name for it is "bacterial SSU rRNA". It matches the Rfam family "Bacterial small subunit ribosomal RNA", at positions 28 to 817 of the family's 1533-position model. Lineage: Bacteria; Bacillati; Cyanobacteriota. The record is from RNAcentral.